UACGGAGGGGCUAGCGUUGUUCGGAAUUACUGGGCGUAAAGCGCACGUAGGCGGCUUUGUAAGUUAGAGGUGAAAGCCCGGGCUCAACCCCGGAAUUGCCUUUAAGACUGCAUCGCUAGAAUUGUGGAGAGGUAAGUGGAAUUCCGAGUGUAGAGGUGAAAUUCGUAGAUAUUCGGAAGAACACCAGUGGCGAAGGCGACUUACUGGACACAUAUUGACGCUGAGGUGCGAAAGCGUGGGAGCAAACAGG
Molecule: ribosomal RNA, 250 nt
Filed under: uncultured bacterium
Lineage: Bacteria
Description: partial 16S ribosomal RNA
Rfam family: Bacterial small subunit ribosomal RNA
Source: RNAcentral